Molecule: long non-coding RNA, 1480 nt
Filed under: Coturnix japonica (Japanese quail)
Lineage: Eukaryota; Metazoa; Chordata; Aves; Galliformes; Phasianidae
Description: lncRNA (ENSCJPG00005001092.1)
Source: RNAcentral
GCCCCACACAUUGACCCACUUAUGGGGCAGCCCCACAUAUUGACCCAUAUUGACCCACAUAUGGGUCUCAGCCCCACACAUUGCCCCAUAUAUGGGUCUCUGCCCCACACAUCCACCCCCCAGCCCCACAUAUUGACCCACUUAUGGGGCAGCCCCACAUAUUGACCCACAUUGACCCACAUAUGGGUCUCAGCCCCCCUCCCCGCCCCACAUAUCACCCCCAGCCCCACAUAUGGGUCUCUGCCCCACACAUUGCCCCACAUAUGGGGCUACUAACCCACAUAUCACCCCCAGCCCCACACAUUGCCCCACACAUUGACCCACUUACGGGGCAGCCCCACACAUUGCCCCAUAUAUGGGUCUCUGUCCCCCUCCCCACCCCACAUAUGGGUCUCAGCCCCACAUAUUGACCCACAUAACACCCCCAACCCCACUUAGGGGUCUCUGCCCCACACACUGACCCACACAUUGCCCCAUAUAUCACCCCCAACCCCACAUAUGGGUCUCUGCCCCCCUCCCCGCCCCACAUAUCACCCCCAGCCCCACAUAUGGGUCUCAGCCCCACACACUGCCCCACAUAUCACCCCCAGCCCCAUAUAUACCCCCAGCCCCACACAUUGCCCCACAUAUCACCCCCAACCCCACAUAUGGGUCUCAGCCCCACACACUGCCCCACAUAUGGGUCUCAGCCCCACAUAUGGACCCACACAUUGCCCCACAUAUCACCCCCAGCCCCACAUAUGGGUCUCUGCCCCACAUAUGGGUCUCUGCCCCACAUAUUGACCCACAUAUGGGGCUACUAACCCACAUAUCACCCCCAGCCCCACACAUUGACCCACACAUUGACCCACUUAUGGGGCAGCCCCACAUAUUGACCCACAUUGACCCACAUAUGGGUCUCAGCCCCACAUUGACCCACUUAUGGGGCAGCCCCACACUUAUGGGUCCCAUUGCCCCCUUACCCACCUCAUUUGUUCCCUGUUCUCCCUCUUCCUCUUCACAUUUUCCUCCUGUUUCCUUUUUCUCUCCUCUUUUUCUUUCAGUUUCUUUUCCCUUUUUUCCAGCAGUUCCCGAAGCUCCGACUCCGACUUGUGAACUAUGGGGGGAAAUGGGGCUUGUUAUCGACCUGCCAGGACCCGAACAGCCAUUCCAAGGCUCUUUAUGGACCUGCCAGGACCCGAACAGCCAUUCCAAGGCUCUUUAUGAACCUUCCAGGACCUUCCCAACCCAUUCAAUGCCCCUUUCCCCUUCCAGGACCUGUCCUUACCAUAGCAGUGAUACAGGACCCCACCCCCAUCCCAGUGACCUUCCAGUGGUCCAUAAAGAGCAUUGGAAUGGUUGGAAGGUCCUGGAAGGGCAAAAGAAUGAGGGGUUGGGAAGGUCCUGGAAGGUUAAAGAGCCUUGGAAUGGCUGGGUGGUUGGAAGGUCUGGAAGCUUAAAGGGUCCUUGGGGUUAUUGGGGUGGGUUGGGAAGGUCCUGA